GUCGUACUCCAUCCGCUUGGUGGGCAUCCAGUCCUCAAAUACUGAAGGUGCGUCCGUUUAAUGUGGCGAAAGAAAGAGUUAAAAACUCUAAAGUCCUGUUCACAUCCAUCAAUACCACAGUAAACCCAAAAAUCCGGGCUGCGACUGUGACUUUUAUUAAUGUGGCUAAGGAGUACUUUAAGACUUAAAGCAACAAAGACGAAACAUAUCAUACACCUCCACGCCGCCAUGAUGCACCGUUGUUGUCGCGGGCUAAUGAUCCAGAGGUGGAUGGGGAGGGGGGCACUCAUGAAAUAAUUUGUUAUUAUUUUAACAAUACAUUCCUCUAAUUAUAAAUGCGACUUAAUUAAUUUUACGAUGGUAAGUUUUUAAAAAAUAAUAUUUUGCUAACAUGUUCAUGUUUACGUCCGAUCAUUUCUGCGCAUCCUCAGUUCAUGUCCUCCAACGGUCCCACCUCAAUGACGUCAGUGUUCGCGGUUCACCGCUUGAGUAACUGAAAGAUUUGGGUGCGUUACAUUUGACGAAGAAGUGCAAGAAGAGCGGCUCAAUGGAGCUGAUGAAUCUAAGAUGGAUACUUUUGACGAUGCCACUCUAUCGGUGUUGGAGGUGUGAAAAUACCACGGACCAAGAUGCCAACAAUUGUGCCAUGCCACCAUGCCAGCCUCAAACCUCAACCCCCAUAUCUGCUGAGAAAAAAAUGAAAAUGCCAGACCCUCCAGAGUAUGUGGUGUACACAGAUUCAGAGUUAGACAUGGUGCGUAGUCAAUACUUUGCACUGCUCUGCAAUGGAAAGGAAAAAAAUUACAAACUGUCCAAGGAGCUAUGUUGCAGACUUGUAAGGAACACAAUAACCAGUAUGGUUGCUAUCCUGCGUGCUAGUCCCAUGGGGAAAGAAGUCAGUUACCCGUCAAAAUUGGAAAUAAGAGCCAUGUCACAGAAGAUUAUAGACUAUUACCCAAUGUUACGGGAUGAUGAUCCAAACAUGCCUUAUCUGACUAUCUACACCAAAAUGUACAAGCGACUCCAAAAUAUGAGAUCCCCACGGAAGAGGCAAGGCUCUGUACCACAAAGAGG
Gasterosteus aculeatus aculeatus (three-spined stickleback) is the source of this 1074-nucleotide long non-coding RNA. NCBI's taxonomy places the organism in Eukaryota, Metazoa, Chordata, Actinopteri, Perciformes, Gasterosteidae. The record is from Ensembl.